GACGUAGGGCGCGAGCGUUGUCCGGAUUUAUUGGGCGUAAAGAGCUCGUAGGCGGCUUGUUGCGUCGACUGUGAAAACCCGCAGCUUAACUGCGGGCCUGCAGUUGAUACGGGCAGGCUAGAGUUCGGUAGGGGAGACUGGAAUUCCUGGUGUAGCGGUGAAAUGCGCAGAUAUCAGGAGGAACACCGGUGGCGAAGGCGGGUUGCUGGGCUGAUACUGACGCUGAGGCGCGAAAGCGUGGGGAGCGAACAGG
Molecule: ribosomal RNA, 253 nt
Filed under: uncultured bacterium
Lineage: Bacteria
Description: partial 16S ribosomal RNA
Rfam family: Bacterial small subunit ribosomal RNA
Source: RNAcentral